This 1167-nucleotide ribosomal RNA is filed under the name Triticum aestivum (bread wheat). RNAcentral describes it as "partial small subunit ribosomal RNA". The record is from RNAcentral. Lineage: Eukaryota; Viridiplantae; Streptophyta; Magnoliopsida; Poales; Poaceae.
AUGCCGGACACGGAGAGGCAGUCGCCGUGGGCGUCGGUGGAGAGGCGGCCACACUUCUUCAAGGUGCUCAUCGGCGACUUCAAGAAGCGCCUGAAAAUCCCGCCAAAGUUCUGCAAGCACAUCCCGUGGGAGGCGUCCAGGAAGGCCAAGGGCCUGAAGGAGGCGUCCAUGGCGGCCACCCUGGAGGGCCCCAGCGGCCGGACGUGGCAGGUCGUCAUCCGCCGGACCGCCGAGGGCACCUUCUUCACAGCCGGCUGGGCCAAGUUCGUGCAGGACCAGGCGCUGCGGGAGCUCGAGUUCCUCGUCUUCCGCCACGACGGCGGCACCAGCUUCGCCGCCAUGGUGUUCGACAAGUCGGCGUGCGAGCGGGAGGACCUGCUGCUCGCCGGAGACGCGCCCCGGCCGCGCAGGAAGCGGGGUCGGCCGAGGACGGCGUCGCGGGCCGUGGAUGAUUCGGCCGGCAUGGAGCUGGUCCCGUACCGUGCGCCUGCCGAGCAGCUACCCCAAGUCGCGUGCUCCGAUCGGAUGCCGGAAUCGGACAAGUCAAAUGGAUCAGCCGGGCAUCCCGGCCCUAUGAAGGCCGAGGCGGGCGCCGGCGAGCUCCCGCUGUGCUUGAUCGCCCCGCCACCGUCGGAGUCGGGGCAGCUCCCGCCGGGCCGCUUGCCAGCCGGGACCAAGGACGGGUGCGCGGUGAAAACGCGGAGCAUCCACGUCGACCUCGCCGCGGCCAGCAUCCCCCCUUCCGUGAGGAAGUACAACGGGUACGUGUCCCGCCGCCGCCCCGUGGCGAGCGCCGAGCGGCAGCGGGCCAUGGAGCUGGCGCGCGCGUUCCGGUCGUCGCUCCCGUACUGCGUCAUCCGCAUGAGCACCAUGCACGUCUACUACUCCUUCAUGAUGAGGUUCCCCACGGGGUUCUCGAGGCAGCACCUGCCCCGGGAGAAGACGGAGAUGGUGCUCCGGGACCCGGGCGGCAAGGCGUGGGCGGCGCUCUACAUCCCCGGCACGAGGGACCGGCUGUCGCGCGGGUGGUGCGCGUUCGCGCGCGGCAACUGCCUCGAGGAAGGGGACUGCUGCGUCUUCGAGCUCGUCGGCGCGGCCGAGUUCCGCGUCCACGUGUUCCGGGUGGUCGAGCCCGCCGUGCCGGCGGUCAGGCUCCGAUUAGCUUGA